Molecule: transfer RNA, 74 nt
Filed under: Operophtera brumata (winter moth)
Lineage: Eukaryota; Metazoa; Arthropoda; Insecta; Lepidoptera; Geometridae
Rfam family: tRNA
About the family: Transfer RNA (tRNA) molecules are approximately 80 nucleotides in length. Their secondary structure includes four short double-helical elements and three loops (D, anti-codon, and T loops).
Source: Rfam by way of RNAcentral
CGGCCAGUGACGGAGUUGUCAAACGCAUCUCCGUAUCAAAGAGACUGUCGCAGGUUCGAAUCCUGUCUAGUUGG